CCAUGGUACAAUCUAUGACCACGAUCGUACCAACCAUAGUAGUCCUAACAGAUAACUAUAGCCAUGACAUUACUUAGCUACGGGUGACUCCUAUAAAUACCCUCUCGUUAGAGGACACACCGUCAUCCACUGAGAGCGAUCCUCUUACAUCUUUCUAGAUCAGAUAGGAGAGGAAAAAAUAGAUACCCUUAAGGGCAAGGAGAACAGAUACCCCUUAGAGAUAAAAAGUCUAACGAGACACUUGAUGCUAUAUGCAUGUUAAUAUUGAUACACUUCGGACCAUACAGGCUUCAUUCCGCUUUUCUCUCUUCUUUUUUUACUUUUACUCUUACCGAUUACAUAUUAUAUUUAUUACAUGCAAAUUCAUCAAGUGUUUGUAAUUCAUAUAAUAUGCUUGAAAACCAUAACAAUUCGACUCAUUUGAACAUAGAG
Molecule: long non-coding RNA, 432 nt
Filed under: Carica papaya (papaya)
Lineage: Eukaryota; Viridiplantae; Streptophyta; Magnoliopsida; Brassicales; Caricaceae
Description: long non-coding RNA (CPAP_LNC002685)
Source: RNAcentral